GGAGAGAGGAAGGUCACGCGUGGGAGAAGAGGAGAGAAACCAGAACCUUGCUCUUCAAUUUCAUCUUUUCUUCAAGCCUAAGGACAAAGAUGGUCGUGAAGAUAAUGGCGAUGACACAUUCUUGGGAGUUGAUGCUACAUGACGUGCCAAUACCGGAGGACGACUACACUUCAGAGGAAGAGGAAGAGGCUAAGGAAUAGGGUUUGGGUUGAGAGUCUUUUGUUUUCUGUUGGGGUUGAGAGUUUCCGAAGUGUUGGUAUCGAACAAUUUUAUUGCUUAAAUUCGAAUGAACAAGUUUUGAUGUAAUCUUUAUUUUCAUUCAGGCCUUUGAUUCGUACUCUUUACAA
Long non-coding RNA from Lotus japonicus, 347 nucleotides. RefSeq lists it as uncharacterized. The transcript is spliced from 2 exons. NCBI's taxonomy places the organism in Eukaryota, Viridiplantae, Streptophyta, Magnoliopsida, Fabales, Fabaceae. The record is from RefSeq and is a predicted model, not a curated record.